RNAcentral lists this ribosomal RNA (1547 nucleotides) under Salmonella enterica subsp. enterica serovar Infantis. RNAcentral describes it as "bacterial SSU rRNA". It matches the Rfam family "Bacterial small subunit ribosomal RNA". The record is from RNAcentral. RNAcentral also lists the same sequence under 3 other names. Lineage: Bacteria; Pseudomonadati; Pseudomonadota; Gammaproteobacteria; Enterobacterales; Enterobacteriaceae.
UUAAAUUGAAGAGUUUGAUCAUGGCUCAGAUUGAACGCUGGCGGCAGGCCUAACACAUGCAAGUCGAACGGUAACAGGAAGCAGCUUGCUGCUUUGCUGACGAGUGGCGGACGGGUGAGUAAUGUCUGGGAAACUGCCUGAUGGAGGGGGAUAACUACUGGAAACGGUGGCUAAUACCGCAUAACGUCGCAAGACCAAAGAGGGGGACCUUCGGGCCUCUUGCCAUCAGAUGUGCCCAGAUGGGAUUAGCUUGUUGGUGAGGUAACGGCUCACCAAGGCGACGAUCCCUAGCUGGUCUGAGAGGAUGACCAGCCACACUGGAACUGAGACACGGUCCAGACUCCUACGGGAGGCAGCAGUGGGGAAUAUUGCACAAUGGGCGCAAGCCUGAUGCAGCCAUGCCGCGUGUAUGAAGAAGGCCUUCGGGUUGUAAAGUACUUUCAGCGGGGAGGAAGGUGUUGUGGUUAAUAACCGCAGCAAUUGACGUUACCCGCAGAAGAAGCACCGGCUAACUCCGUGCCAGCAGCCGCGGUAAUACGGAGGGUGCAAGCGUUAAUCGGAAUUACUGGGCGUAAAGCGCACGCAGGCGGUCUGUCAAGUCGGAUGUGAAAUCCCCGGGCUCAACCUGGGAACUGCAUUCGAAACUGGCAGGCUUGAGUCUUGUAGAGGGGGGUAGAAUUCCAGGUGUAGCGGUGAAAUGCGUAGAGAUCUGGAGGAAUACCGGUGGCGAAGGCGGCCCCCUGGACAAAGACUGACGCUCAGGUGCGAAAGCGUGGGGAGCAAACAGGAUUAGAUACCCUGGUAGUCCACGCCGUAAACGAUGUCUACUUGGAGGUUGUGCCCUUGAGGCGUGGCUUCCGGAGCUAACGCGUUAAGUAGACCGCCUGGGGAGUACGGCCGCAAGGUUAAAACUCAAAUGAAUUGACGGGGGCCCGCACAAGCGGUGGAGCAUGUGGUUUAAUUCGAUGCAACGCGAAGAACCUUACCUGGUCUUGACAUCCACAGAAGAAUCCAGAGAUGGAUUUGUGCCUUCGGGAACUGUGAGACAGGUGCUGCAUGGCUGUCGUCAGCUCGUGUUGUGAAAUGUUGGGUUAAGUCCCGCAACGAGCGCAACCCUUAUCCUUUGUUGCCAGCGGUCCGGCCGGGAACUCAAAGGAGACUGCCAGUGAUAAACUGGAGGAAGGUGGGGAUGACGUCAAGUCAUCAUGGCCCUUACGACCAGGGCUACACACGUGCUACAAUGGCGCAUACAAAGAGAAGCGACCUCGCGAGAGCAAGCGGACCUCAUAAAGUGCGUCGUAGUCCGGAUUGGAGUCUGCAACUCGACUCCAUGAAGUCGGAAUCGCUAGUAAUCGUGGAUCAGAAUGCCACGGUGAAUACGUUCCCGGGCCUUGUACACACCGCCCGUCACACCAUGGGAGUGGGUUGCAAAAGAAGUAGGUAGCUUAACCUUCGGGAGGGCGCUUACCACUUUGUGAUUCAUGACUGGGGUGAAGUCGUAACAAGGUAACCGUAGGGGAACCUGCGGUUGGAUCACCUCCUUACCU